Molecule: ribosomal RNA, 984 nt
Filed under: uncultured archaeon
Lineage: Archaea
Description: bacterial SSU rRNA
Rfam family: Archaeal small subunit ribosomal RNA
Source: RNAcentral
UCUGUUUGAUCCUGGCAGAGGCCACUGCUAUCGGGGUUCGAUUAAGCCAUGCGAGUCGAGAGGUGCAAGACCUCGGCGCACUGCUCAGUAACACGUGGACAACCUACCCUGUGGAGGGGGAUAACCCCGGAAAACUGGGGAUAAUACCCCAUAGGUUAGGGAGGCUGGAAUGCCCCCUAGCUCAAAGGUCCGCCGCCACAGGAUGGGUCUGCGGCCGAUUAGGUUGUUGUUGGGGUAACGGCCCAACAAGCCUUUGAUCGGUACGGGUUGUGGGAGCAAGAGCCCGGAGAUGGAUUCUGAGACACGAAUCCAGGCCCUACGGGGCGCAGCAGGCGCGAAAACUUUACAAUGCGAGAAAUCGUGAUAAGGGAACCCCGAGUGCCCGUAAAUUCGGGCUGUCCGCCAGUGCAAAAAACUGGUGAAGAAAGAGCCGGGCAAGACCGGUGCCAGCCGCCGCGGUAAUACCGGCGGCUCGAGUGGUGGCCACUAUUACUGGGCUUAAAGCGUCCGUAGCUUGGUUGUUAAGUCUCCAGGGAAAUCCAUCGGCUCAACCGAUGGGCGUUCAGGAGAUACUGGCAACCUAGGGACCGGGAGAGGUGAGAGGUACUCCAGGGGUAGGAGUGAAAUCCUGUAAUCCUUGGGGGACCACCUGUGGCGAAGGCGUCUCACUAGAACGGCUCCGACAGUGAGGGACGAAAGCUGGGGGAGCAAACCGGAUUAGAUACCCGGGUAGUCCCAGCUGUAAACGAUGCGCGUUAGGUGUAUCGGUGACCACGAGUCACCGAGGUGCCGAAGAGAAAUCGUGAAACGUGCCGCCUGGGAAGUACGGUCGCAAGGCUGAAACUUAAAGGAAUUGGCGGGGGAGCACCACAACAGGUGGAGCCUGCGGUUUAAUCGGACUCAACGCCGGGAAGCUCACCGGAUAAGACAGCUGAAUGAUAGCCGGGUUGAAGACUCUGCUUGACUAGCUGAGAGGAGGUGCAU